RNAcentral lists this ribosomal RNA (240 nucleotides) under uncultured bacterium. Its description in RNAcentral is "partial 16S ribosomal RNA". It matches the Rfam family "Bacterial small subunit ribosomal RNA", at positions 98 to 334 of the family's 1533-position model. The record is from RNAcentral.
CCGCACGGGUGAGUAACACGUAUGCAAUCCACCUGUAACAGGGGGAUAACCCGGAGAAGUCCGGACUAAUACCCCAUAAUAUGGGCGCUCCGCAUGGAGAGCCCAUUAAAGAGAGCAAUUUUGGUUACAGACGAGCAUGCGCUCCAUUAGCCAGUUGGCGGGGUAACGGCCCACCAAAGCGACGAUGGAUAGGGGUUCUGAGAGGAAGGUCCCCCACAUUGGAACUGAGACACGGUCCAA